This 834-nucleotide ribosomal RNA is filed under the name Triticum aestivum (bread wheat). RNAcentral describes it as "partial small subunit ribosomal RNA". Lineage: Eukaryota; Viridiplantae; Streptophyta; Magnoliopsida; Poales; Poaceae. The record is from RNAcentral.
AUGGCCAGCGCGCCCACUGCAAGCGAGCACGCGCCGCCUGCGUCUGCCACCGCUCCCGUCCCCGUUCCAGUCCGGCCGGUCGACCUCCCCCCACCGGUGGUACCCGCCAGCACCGCCGCGCCGGUGGACGGCAGCCGUCUGUCCGAGCAGGACGAAGCGGUGGUCCUCCAGUCCCUCCGGGCCCACCUCUGGAGCCACGGCGACCUCCCCCGCGGCGCCGACCUCGUCGACAUCUUCUUCGGCCGGCUCAGCAGGGCGGACUACAGCCUCUGGGACAUCGAGGCCAAGAUCCGGGCCCUGCGGCGCCGGUUCCGGGAGGCCGACGCCGCGCUCUGCACCGGCACCGGCUGCCCGGCCCCCGGGCACGGCCUCCGGAUGUACGCGCUCUCGCUCGAGGUCUGGGGCGCCACGCCCGCCGUCGUUGCCCCGCCCCGGCGCGACCCGGUGCCCGACAAGGACGCGGCGUCCACGGCGGUGACGGCGGUGGGGAACAGGAUGCCUGUAACGCCGGUGCCGCGCGCUGCCCCUGCCCCUGCUCCUGCUAAGAAGAGGCGCUGCGAGGAGUACCCCGCGCUGGCGAGGGAGGCGGAGAGGCUGACGAGGGAGGCCCUGGAGCGCAUCGACGACGUGACGGCGUGGUCGCUGGAGAUGGGGGCGAGCAAGAAGGAGCAGCGGCGUCUGCGGAGGAUGAGGAAACAGUACCGGCAACAACAGCCAGCCGGCGGCGUGCCCGGCGGUGGGCGCGCCGAGGGCGGGAGCAAGGAGCUGGCUAGCCUGAUCGUGAAGCUUCUUAGAGGCAACCAUGGCCCCUCAGCUGGGAACCAGAGGAGAUGA